UGACUAAUUGCAACAUUAUAUUUUGAUGACACGAAAGCAGAACAGAUCAAGUUUAAGGACAGCGCAAACGAUAAAUGGAUCAAAAGCAACCAUAACACCAUGAACAUAAACAGAUCCACCCAACUCAGGAAAGUUUGAUGGAAUGUUAUAGUAGAACUCUUGAACCAUAGAUAAAUUGAAAUUGGGAGGAGGAGAAUUUACUCUUGAAGUCAGUGGCGAUCAACUCAGUCAUUAGAACGGAUAACAUCAUCAAAGGAGAGAUCAUCCCAGAUGAUCCUUCGUUUAAGCAUUACCUUAUGAGCAGCCACCAUGGAGAAAAAGUUCGUGGCUUGAGUGGAUGAAAAGAUGAGAACUUGAUCAUCACUUGCAGCUCUAAAGGAAUUCCUUGUAGUUUUUUAUCGAGUAGAGCGACAAGGGGGCUGAGCAUGGGCAGAAGUCGAGUUGCCGGCCAUUUGUGAAGAAAAUUUUCUGGCGAAAGAGUUUGAGAAAUAAGGAAAAGGGAACUAAAAGCAAAUGACACAAAAUGAAAAGGGUAAAAACCUAGUUGGGUAAGAGAAGUUUAAAACCUAGGACAUUGUGAAGAAAUAUAAGUCGUGCGAUGAAAAACCAAUGGAUGAGAUGUACCUAGUUAAAAACAGAUGGUGUAAAGACAAGAAUACCCUUAAUGAACCUCACCUUUCUAAGUAGAUAGCCUGACUAGUCAGAAGGUUGGAAUUUACUACAACACAACUAAUAAAGUGCAACAAUAUGUAAUCACAAGGGAAGACAACACACAAACAUAAGAAAACAAGCUACAGAUACAAACUUAGCACCAUUUGAGUUACAACCAACUACGAACUUCACAGAGAAAAUCCAAGUACGAAAAGAUUCAAUAACCAAGCUUCCAUGACAAAUUUAAAUUUUAUUUUCUGACAAAGUAAGCAUAUUAGAAAAGAAACAUGCAAUGCAAUACUUCAAGAACAAAUCUUUAGAGUCACACAUGUAUAGCACAACAUAGAUUAACACUCGUUCAUACCACAUCCAUGAUGUGUCAGGGUAUGGGAAAGGGAUUGGUGAUAGCCAUUGAAAACUAAGUUACAUGCAACUAAGCAAAGAUUUAAUUCAAAAGCUAAUCAAACUUUUAAUAACCCAUUGAGAUUAAGUCACAACCCUCACAACAUAAAUUGAGCCAAAUCUAAAUGCAAAACUACUCACAAUGAAGAACCAAGCCUAAAAGAACUUAUAAGUUGGCAAAUGAGAUACAAUGCACAUGACAAUUUGAUGCGUAAAUUAACUUAACACCCAAAUUAAACCCUCUUGUUGACAAUUGUAGUAUAUGUAUAAGUAGGGAUUGUUCUUAAACCGGGGAUUAGGAGGGAUUGCUAAACACUCUAAACUGACUCAAAUAGAUAAAACUAAGCUUUAAAACACUUAACUAGACUCAAAAGACUCAAAACAAACUCAAAAGACUCAAAACAAGCUAAAAACACUCAAAACUGCCUAAAAACACAAACUGGGCAGUUUUGAGCUCU
Molecule: long non-coding RNA, 1511 nt
Filed under: Malus domestica (apple)
Lineage: Eukaryota; Viridiplantae; Streptophyta; Magnoliopsida; Rosales; Rosaceae
Description: long non-coding RNA (MDOM_LNC000065)
Source: RNAcentral